GAUGAACGCUGGCGGCGUGCCUAAUACAUGCAAGUCGAGCGAACAGACGAGGAGCUUGCUCCUCUGACGUUAGCGGCGGACGGGUGAGUAACACGUGGAUAACCUACCUAUAAGACUGGGAUAACUUCGGGAAACCGGAGCUAAUACCGGAUAAUAUAUUGAACCGCAUGGUUCAAUAGUGAAAGACGGUUUUGCUGUCACUUAUAGAUGGAUCCGCGCCGCAUUAGCUAGUUGGUAAGGUAACGGCUUACCAAGGCGACGAUGCGUAGCCGACGUGAGAGGGUGAUAGGCCACCCUGGAACUGGGCCACGGUCCAGACUCCUACGGGAGGCAGCAGUAGGGAAUCUUCCGCAAUGGGCGAAAGCCUGACGGAGCAACGCCGCGUGAGUGAUGAAGGUCUUCGGAUCGUAAAACUCUGUUAUUAGGGAAGAACAAAUGUGUAAGUAACUAUGCACGUCUUGACGGUACCUAAUCAGAAAGCCACGGCUAACUACGUG
RNAcentral lists this ribosomal RNA (497 nucleotides) under uncultured bacterium. RNAcentral describes it as "partial 16S ribosomal RNA". It matches the Rfam family "Bacterial small subunit ribosomal RNA", at positions 28 to 507 of the family's 1533-position model. The record is from RNAcentral.